UGCAGUCGAGCGGAACGAGUUAUCUGAACCUUCGGGGAACGAUAACGGCGUCGAGCGGCGGACGGGUGAGUAAUGCCUAGGAAAUUGCCCUGAUGUGGGGGAUAACCAUUGGAAACGAUGGCUAAUACCGCAUGAUGCCUACGGGCCAAAGAGGGGGACCUUCGGGCCUCUCGCGUCAGGAUAUGCCUAGGUGGGAUUAGCUAGUUGGUGAGGUAAGGGCUCACCAAGGCGACGAUCCCUAGCUGGUCUGAGAGGAUGAUCAGCCACACUGGAACUGAGACACGGUCCAGACUCCUACGGGAGGCAGCAGUGGGGAAUAUUGCACAAUGGGCGCAAGCCUGAUGCAGCCAUGCCGCGUGUGUGAAGAAGGCCUUCGGGUUGUAAAGCACUUUCAGUCGUGAGGAAGGUAGUGUAGUUAAUAGCUGCAUUAUUUGACGUUAGCGACAGAAGAAGCACCGGCUAACUCCGUGCCAGCAGCCGCGGUAAUACGGAGGGUGCGAGCGUUAAUCGGAAUUACUGGGCGUAAAGCGCAUGCAGGUGGUUUGUUAAGUCAGAUGUGAAAGCCCGGGGCUCAACCUCGGAAUUGCAUUUGAAACUGGCAGACUAGAGUACUGUAGAGGGGGGUAGAAUUUCAGGUGUAGCGGUGAAAUGCGUAGAGAUCUGAAGGAAUACCGGUGGCGAAGGCGGCCCCCUGGACAGAUACUGACACUCAGAUGCGAAAGCGUGGGGAGCAAACAGGAUUAGAUACCCUGGUAGUCCACGCCGUAAACGAUGUCUACUUGGAGGUUGUGGCCUUGAGCCGUGGCUUUCGGAGCUAACGCGUUAAGUAGACCGCCUGGGGAGUACGGUCGCAAGAUUAAAACUCAAAUGAAUUGACGGGGGCCCGCACAAGCGGUGGAGCAUGUGGUUUUAAUUCGAUGCAACGCGAAGAACCUUACCUACUCUUUGACAUCCAGAGAACUUU
Molecule: ribosomal RNA, 964 nt
Filed under: Vibrio sp.
Lineage: Bacteria; Pseudomonadati; Pseudomonadota; Gammaproteobacteria; Vibrionales; Vibrionaceae
Description: bacterial SSU rRNA
Rfam family: Bacterial small subunit ribosomal RNA
Source: RNAcentral